AUUUACACCGACAUUUGUUCUGCUCUUGCUAUCAAUAAGACCCGCUGCAAAAAAGGUUUGGCAAUGUCAUGCUAAAAUGGAGUACGUCAAACCAACUGAACAUUUGUUGAGCCUGUUGAUUUUGCUGUUUUAGUAGAACAUUUGAUUCAUGGCGAGGGAAAUCUGAUAUUUUAUUAGCUCUGUUUAACAAAGAAUGAUAGAAGAGACCUGAAGCAACACAUUAUGACCAUCACAUAGAUUCUACCUGAUUUCACCCAAAAAAAUCUAUAAUUUGUUUAUACUCUGGUCAAAAGUUUGAAAUAAUUAAGAUUAUUAUUUUUUUUUUUAAGGUAGUGUCUUAUAGCCUACUCAGUGAGGCUGCAUUUAUUUGAUCAAAAACACAGUAAUAUUAUGAGAUAUCAUUACAAUAAUAAUAAAAAAAAACUGUUUAACAUAUUUUAAAAUGUAAUUUAUUCCUGUGAUGUAAAGCUGAAUUUUCAGCAUCAUACUCCAAUCUUCAGUGUCACAUGAUGCUUCCGAAAUCAUAUUAAUAUGCUGCACAUUUUAGCCCCCCCGCCCCACUUAGUCCUUGAAUGGCCUCUGAGUUUCUCAAACCAAAACCUUUCCAGUCUCACCAUUGUGGUCAGUAAUGCACUAAAUGCACCAUUUUCCGCACGUCAUAAGUCACGGAGUUCGGCUUUGCUGGUGAAACGAAAUUCUUCCACAGUCCAUAAAUGGAGCAACAGCCAAGAGAAACACACUGACCUCGUUCUCAUUCACAAUAUCUUCAGCCAGCAGCCACUGCUGAGAACACCAAAGGUUUACUGAAUAAAUUUGGAAACAAACUGGUCUGAACACUGGGUAAGUAAUACAACCUUGUUCCUGAUAUUUUUGCAUGUCCUUUUCAGCAUAUUGUGAAGCAUAAAACAAUACUGAACCUUUGUGUUAUUUGAAAUAGUAAAAAUAUUUCACAAUAUUACUGCUUUUGCUGUAUUUUGGAUCAAAUAAAUGCAGGUUUUGGUAAGCA
Molecule: long non-coding RNA, 1006 nt
Organism: Cyprinus carpio (common carp)
Lineage: Eukaryota; Metazoa; Chordata; Actinopteri; Cypriniformes; Cyprinidae
Source: Ensembl